Molecule: long non-coding RNA, 695 nt
Organism: Otolemur garnettii (small-eared galago)
Lineage: Eukaryota; Metazoa; Chordata; Mammalia; Primates; Galagidae
Exons: 2
Source: RefSeq, a predicted model, not a curated record
UCCUCCCCCGCCCUCGGGGCGCCGCUGCUGCCUUUUCGCCGCUUUUUGCUAGAAAACGAAACCUCCUCUACAGCCUUCCUAGCCUCCGCCAGGGGCCAGCAGGGCCUGGAGCCGGGGGACGAGGAAAGGGGUGCAGGCAGCGUGCGUGAGGCGCCCAACAUUUCUGGGGUUGUGUGCCCACCCAGUUCCGGCAGAAUGGGAAAGAGGAAUCUGCGAUUGAAGCGCGGCAGCCCGGAAACCCCUCUGCUGGGAACUGAAUCGUGGCCCGCGGCCUUGGGGCGCAGCCCUUCUGCCCCACCAACCCACUGAGGAUGCUCCAGACUAGGUCUUGGGAAAACUGAGGGGGCGUAUUGGUAGAAACAAGCAUGGAAUCCCCAAGCUGGGAGUUUACAAAACUCGCCAAGCGCCUCCCCGAGUGCGGUUCCUCUCGGCCGCGAGGAGGUCGCGACCCUGACGCAGCUGCCGCCUCUCCCGGCUUCCCGCACUUCACUCCCAGUCGCGGAUCUGCCCCUGGUAUUCCGGAGGAACCUGCAUGUCCGAACGUACUCGCCCGGAUUCCCCCAGGGACGGCUCGACCCCGUGUAGAGCGCGAAGGUCUCAGGGGUCAGAGGCCGUGGGGAGGGACUGCAGUUGUGGCACCUCACUCGCAUUCGCUGCCGCCUUUCGACCUGCUCAAAAAUAAAAAUUAAGCCCCA